CGCGCUUGCCACGGAGUGGUUCAUGACUGGGGUGAAGUCGUAACAAGGUAGCCGUAUCGGAAGGUGCGGCUGGAUCACCUCCUUU
Molecule: non-coding RNA, 85 nt
Filed under: Beta vulgaris subsp. vulgaris (sugar beet)
Lineage: Eukaryota; Viridiplantae; Streptophyta; Magnoliopsida; Caryophyllales; Amaranthaceae
Description: Bacterial small subunit ribosomal RNA
Rfam family: Bacterial small subunit ribosomal RNA
Source: Rfam by way of RNAcentral